UGAACGCUGGCGGCGUGCCUACCACAUGCAAGUCGCGCGGCAGCGAGGGGUGCUUGCACCCUGUCGGCGAGCGGCGGACGGCUGAGUAACGCGUGGGAACGUGCCCCAAAGUGAGGAAUAACUGCCCGAAAGGGUAGCUAAUACCGCAUAUUAUCUUCGGAUCAAAGGAUUUAUCCGCUUUGGGAGCGGCUCGCGUCGGAUUAGGUAGUUGGUGAGGUAAUGGCUCACCAAGCCGACGAUCCGUAGCUGGUCUGAGAGGAUGACCAGCCAGACUGGAACUGAGACACGGUCCAGACUCCUACGGGAGGCAGCAGUGAGGAAUCUUCCACAAUGGGCGAAAGCCUGAUGGAGCAACGCCGCGUGCAGGACGAAGGCCUUCGGGUUGUAAACUGCUUUUAUAAGUGAGGAAUAUGACGGUAACUUAUGAAUAAGGAGCGGCUAACUACGUG
RNAcentral lists this ribosomal RNA (449 nucleotides) under uncultured bacterium. RNAcentral's name for it is "partial 16S ribosomal RNA". It matches the Rfam family "Bacterial small subunit ribosomal RNA", at positions 30 to 507 of the family's 1533-position model. The record is from RNAcentral.